UGGGGAAUAUUGCACAAUGGGCGCAAGCCUGAUGCAGCCAUGCCGCGUGUAUGAAGAAGGCCUUCGGGUUGUAAAGUACUUUCAGCGGGGAGGAAGGCGAUAAGGUUAAUAACCUUGUCGAUUGACGUUACCCGCAGAAGAAGCAUCGGCUAACUCCGUGCCAGCAGCCGCGGUAAUACGGAGGGUGCAAGCGUUAAUCGGCAUUACUGGGCGUAAAGCGCACGCAGGCGGUCUGUCAAGUCGGAUGUGAAAUCCCCGGGCUCAACCUGGGAACUGCAUUCGAAACUGGCAGGCUAGAGUCUUGUAGAGGGGGGUAGAAUUCCAGGUGUAGCGGUGAAAUGCGUAGAGAUCUGGAGGAAUACCGGUGGCGAAGGCGGCCCCCUGGACAAAGACUGACGCUCAGGUGCGAAAGCGUGGGGAGCAAACA
RNAcentral lists this ribosomal RNA (427 nucleotides) under uncultured bacterium. RNAcentral describes it as "partial 16S ribosomal RNA". It matches the Rfam family "Bacterial small subunit ribosomal RNA", at positions 355 to 774 of the family's 1533-position model. The record is from RNAcentral.